Molecule: long non-coding RNA, 3441 nt
Organism: Salmo trutta (river trout)
Lineage: Eukaryota; Metazoa; Chordata; Actinopteri; Salmoniformes; Salmonidae
Source: Ensembl
UACACACAUUACAUAAAUACAGUCUACACUCUGCUACCAGUCUACACUCUGCUACCAGACAUAUCUAUACAGACUACACUCUGCUACCAGACAUAUCUAUACAGACUACACUCUUCUACCAGACAUAUCUAUACAGUCUACACUCUGCUACCAGUCUACACUCUGCUACCAGACUUAUCUAUACAGUCUACACUCUGCUACCAGACAUAUCUAUACAGUCUACACUCUGCUACCAGACAUAUCUAUACAGUCUACACUCUGCUACCAGACAUAUCUAUAGUCUACACUCUGCUACCAGACAUAUCUAUACAGUCUACACUCUGCUACCAGACAUAUCUAUACAGUCUACACUCUGCUACCAGUCAUAUCUAUACAGUCUACACUCUGCUACCAGACAUAUCUAUACAGUCUACACUCUGCUACCAGACAUAUCUAUACAGUCUACACUCUGCUACCAGUCAUAUCUAUACAGUCUACACUCUGCUACCAGACAUAUCUAUACAGUCUACACUCUGCUACCAGACAUAUCUAUACAGUCUACACUCUGCUGCCAGUCUACACUCUGCUACCAGACAUAUCUAUACAGUCUACACUCUGCUACCAGACAUAUCUCUACAGUCUACACUCUGCUACCAGACAUAUCUAUACAAUCUACACUCUGCUACCAGACAUAUCUCUACAGUCUACACUCUGCUACCAGACAUAUCUAUACAGUCUACACUCUGCUACCAGACAUAUCUAUACAGUCUACACUCUGCUACCAGACAUAUCUAUACAGUCUACACUCUGCUACCAGACAUAUCUAUACAGUCUACACUCUGCUACCAGUCAUAUCUAUACAGUCUACGCUCUGCUACCAGACAUAUCUAUACAGUCUACACUCUGCUACCAGACAUAUCUAUACAGUCUGCACUCUGCUACGAGGCAUAUCUAUACAGUCUACACUCUGCUACCAGUCUACACUCUGCUACCAGUCAUAUCUAUACAGUCUACACUCUGCUACCAGACAUAUCUAUACAGUCUACACUCUGCUACCAGUCAUAUCUAUACAGUCUACACUCUGCUACCAGACAUAUCUAUACAGUCUACACUCUGCUACCAGACUACACUCUGCUACCAGACAUAUCUAUACAGACUACACUCUGCUACCAGUCAUAUCUAUACGGUCUACACUCUGCUACCAGACAUAUCUAUACAGUCUACACUCUUCUACCAGUCAUAUCUAUACAGUUUACACUCUGCUACCAGACAUAUCUAUACAGUCUACACUCUGCUACCAGACAUAUCUAUACAGACUACACUCUGCUACCAGACAUAUCUAUACAGACUACACUCUGCUACCAGACAUAUCUAUACAGUCUACACUCUGCUACCAGUCUACACUCUGCUACCAGACAUAUCUCUACAGUCUACACUCUGCUACCAGACAUAUCUAUACAGACUACACUCUGCUACCAGACAUAUCUAUACAGUCUACACUCUGCUACCAGACAUAUCUAUACAGUCUACACUCUGCUGCCAGUCUACACUCUGCUACCAGACAUAUCUAUACAGUCUACACUCUGCUACCAGUCAUAUCUAUACAGUCUACACUCUGCUACCAGACAUAUCUAUACAGACUACACUCUGCUACCAGACAUAUCUACACAGACUACACUCUGCUACCAGACAUAUCUAUACAGUCUACACUCUGCUACCAGUCUACACUCUGCUACCAGACAUAUCUAUACAGUCUACACUCUGCUACCCGACAUAUCUAUACAGUCUUCACUCUGCUACCAGACAUAUCUAUACAGACUACACUCUGCUACCAGUCUACACUCUGCUACCAGUCAUAUCUAUACAGUCUACACUCUGCUACCAGACAUAUCUAUACAGUCUACACUCUGCUACCAGACAUAUCUAUACAGUCUACACUCUGCUGCCAGUCUACACUCUGCUACCAGACAUAUCUAUACAGUCUACACUCUGCUACCGGUCAUAUCUAUACAGUUUACACUCUGCUACCAGACAUAUCUAUACAGUCUACACUCUGCUACCAGACAUAUCUACACAGACUACACUCUGCUACCAGACAUAUCUAUACAGACUACACUCUGCUACCAGACAUAUCUAUACAGUCUACACUCUGCUACCAGUCUACACUCUGCUACCAGACAUAUCUAUACAGUCUACACUCUGCUACCCGACAUAUCUAUACAGUCUUCACUCUGCUACCAGACAUAUCUAUACAGACUACACUCUGCUACCAGUCUACACUCUGCUACCAGUCAUAUCUAUACAGUCUACACUCUGCUACCAGACAUAUCUAUACAGUCUACACUCUGCUACCAGACAUAUCUAUAUAGUCUACACUCUGCUGCCAGUCUACACUCUGCUACCAGACAUAUCUAUACAGUCUACACUCCACUACCGGUCAUAUCUAUACAGUUUACACUCUGCUACCAGACAUAUCUAUACAGUCUACACUCUGCUACCAGACAUAUCUACACAGACUACACUCUGCUACCAGACAUAUCUAUACAGACUACACUCUGCUACCAGACAUAUCUAUACAGUCUACACUCUGCUACCAGUCUACACUCUGCUACCAGACAUAUCUCUACAGUCUACACUCUGCUACCAGACAUAUCUAUACAGACUACACUCUGCUACCAGACAUAUCUAUACAGUCUACACUCUGCUACCAGACAUAUCUAUACAGUCUACACUCUGCUACCAGACAUGUCUAUACAGACUACACUCUGCUACCAGUCAUAUCUAUACAGUCUACACUCUGCUACCAGACAUAUCUAUACAGUCUACACUCUGCUACCAGUCGUAUCUAUACAGUCUACACUCUGCUACCAGACAGAUCUAUACAGACUACACUCUGCUACCAGACAUAUCUACACAGACUACACUCUGCUACCAGACAUAUCUAUACAGUCUACACUCUGCUACCAGUCUACACUCUGCUACCAGACAUAUCUAUACAGUCUACACUCUGCUACCAGACAUAUCUAUACAGACUACAUUCUGCUACCAGACAUAUCUAUACAGUCUACACUCUGCUACCAGACAUAUCUAUACAGUCUACACUCUGCUACCAGUCUACACUCUGCUACCAGACAUAUCUAUACAGUCUACACUCUGCUACCAGUCAUAUCUAUACAGUCUACACUCUGCUACCAGACAUAUCUAUACAGUCUACACUCUGCUACCAGACAUAUCUAUACAGACUACACUCUGCUACCAGACAUAUCUAUACAGUCUACACUCUGCUACCAGACAUAUCUAUACAGACUACACUCUGCUACCAGACAUAUCUACACAGAAUACACUCUGCUACCAGUCAUAUCUAUACACAGUCUCCUAUAUGACCAGAACGUACGUACAUGUGUGUGUGUGUGUGUCUGUGUGUGUGUAGUGUGUGUGUGUGUAGUGUGUGUGUGUGACUGA